RNAcentral lists this ribosomal RNA (225 nucleotides) under uncultured Prosthecobacter sp. RNAcentral's name for it is "partial 16S ribosomal RNA". It matches the Rfam family "Bacterial small subunit ribosomal RNA", at positions 568 to 792 of the family's 1533-position model. The record is from RNAcentral. Lineage: Bacteria; Pseudomonadati; Verrucomicrobiota; Verrucomicrobiia; Verrucomicrobiales; Verrucomicrobiaceae.
UGCGUAGGUGGCAUGGUAAGUCAGAUGUGAAAGCCUGGGGCUCAACCUCAGAAUUGCAUCCGAUACUGCUGUGCUAGAGUACUGGAGGGGUGACUAGAAUUCUCGGUGUAGCAGUGAAAUGCGUAGAUAUCGAGAGGAAUACCAAAGGCGUAGGCAGGUCACUGGACAGUUACUGACACUGAGGCACGAAGGCCAGGGGAGCAAACGGGAUUAGAUACCCGCGUA